UACGAAGGGUGCAAGCGUUACUCGGAAUUACUGGGCGUAAAGCGUGCGUAGGUGGUGAGUUAAGUCUGUCGUGAAAGCCCCGGGCUCAACCUGGGAAUGGCGAUGGAUACUGGCUCGCUAGAGUGCGGUAGAGGAGAGUGGAAUUCCCGGUGUAGCAGUGAAAUGCGUAGAGAUCGGGAGGAACAUCAGUUGCGAAGGCGGCUCUCUAGUACGGUACUGACGCUGAGACGCAAAAGCGUGGGGAGCGAACAGG
RNAcentral lists this ribosomal RNA (253 nucleotides) under uncultured bacterium. RNAcentral's name for it is "partial 16S ribosomal RNA". It matches the Rfam family "Bacterial small subunit ribosomal RNA", at positions 524 to 776 of the family's 1533-position model. The record is from RNAcentral.